AGCGAACGCUGGCGGCGUGCUUAACACAUGCAAGUCGAACGUGAAAGGGGGGCAACUCCUGAGUAAAGUGGCGUACGGGUGAGUAACGCGUAGGUAAUCUAUCCCAGAGUUUGGAAUAACCUGCCGAAAGGCGGGCUAAUACUGGAUAGAGCGAUGGAAUCCGUAAUUGGGUUUUUCGGGAAAGGGAGCUCGUAAGAGCCUUCGCUUUGGGAUGAGCCUGCGUCUCAUUAGCUAGUUGGUGGGGUAACAGCCUACCAAGGCAUUGAUGAGUAGCUGG
Molecule: ribosomal RNA, 277 nt
Filed under: uncultured bacterium
Lineage: Bacteria
Description: partial 16S ribosomal RNA
Rfam family: Bacterial small subunit ribosomal RNA
Source: RNAcentral